RNAcentral lists this ribosomal RNA (601 nucleotides) under Russula sp. Its description in RNAcentral is "SSU rRNA". It matches the Rfam family "Bacterial small subunit ribosomal RNA", at positions 345 to 973 of the family's 1533-position model. Lineage: Eukaryota; Fungi; Basidiomycota; Agaricomycetes; Russulales; Russulaceae. The record is from RNAcentral.
CUUCCAGCAGUCCCAAAAUAUUAGUCAAUGCUCGAAAGAGUGAACUAGCUAACUGAAAUCAAUUAUAAAAAUUGAUAACAUAAGGGAAAAUAAUGAUAUUACCUUAUUAUUAGUGUCGUCCAAAUCUGGUGCCAGAAGACUCGGUAAGGCCAGAGACACAAACGUUAAUCGUCUUAAUCAGGCGUAAAGGGUUUGUAGGCGGCUUUAAAAAUUAUUAAAUAAAAUAAAAACAAAAAAUUUAUUAUAUUAAUAAUUAAAGAAUAAAAGCUAGAAUCAAAAAGAGGAUAUAUCAAAGAAUGCUUAGAGUAGGUCUGAUAUCCUUAGAUACUAAGUAGAAUAUUAAAGGCGAAAGCUUUUUUCCAUUAAUGAUUGACGCUCAGAAACGAAGGUGAGGAUAGGAAAUAGGAUUAGAUACCCAAAAUACCCCUCUCUGUCAACGAUGAAUGGUAGUUAUUAGUAAAAAUUUUAUUAAUGACAAUGUUAACACGAUAACCAUUCCGCCUUGUGAGUACAACUGCAAAGUUGAAAACAAAAAAAUUAGUCGGUUUCGGAGCAAACGAAGUGAAGCAUGUUAUUUAAUUCGAUAAUCCGCAAAUGUUGA